AGUCAUUUGAACAGUGUGUUCAUCUUUCAGAAAUACCAGACAUGCUCUUCUUGGAGUGACUAAGACUUUGGGCCCUUCUGGCAAGAUGGAUGAAGAUAGGGCCAUGGUUCCAUUGUGCUGGCCUUUGGACUUGGGAUAGUGAGACAUGAGGCCUCAAGAAGUUGCAUCCUGCCUUAAAUCAUCUAGCUGAUUCAUACAAACCAACCAAAAUUAAAACCACGUAUUCUGCAUCCAAGUAAUGAAAGCAGUCCUGACAAAAUAGAAUUAACAGCCUGCCAGCUAAUAAGCUCUCCAGUAUCCUCCAAUAAAAU
Molecule: long non-coding RNA, 311 nt
Organism: Suricata suricatta (meerkat)
Lineage: Eukaryota; Metazoa; Chordata; Mammalia; Carnivora; Herpestidae
Exons: 4
Source: RefSeq, a predicted model, not a curated record